AGUAAAAUAGUAUAAAAUUGAAUACUACUAAUUUACACUUGGAAAAUGAUAUAAUCUUUUACUU
RNAcentral lists this transfer RNA (64 nucleotides) under Phagocata gracilis. RNAcentral's name for it is "tRNA-Val". The record is from RNAcentral. Lineage: Eukaryota; Metazoa; Platyhelminthes; Tricladida; Planariidae.